CUACGGGAGGCAGCAGUGGGGAAUCUUAGACAAUGGGGGAAACCCUGAUCUAGCCAUGCCGCGUGAGUGAUGAAGGCCCUAGGGUCGUAAAGCUCUUUCGCCAGGGAUGAUAAUGACAGUACCUGGUAAAGAAACCCCGGCUAACUCCGUGCCAGCAGCCGCGGUAAUACGGAGGGGGUUAGCGUUGUUCGGAAUUACUGGGCGUAAAGCGCGCGUAGGCGGAUUAGAAAGUUGGGGGUGAAAUCCCGGGGCUCAACCCCGGAACUGCCUCCAAAACUACUAGUCUAGAGUUCGAGAGAGGUGAGUGGAAUUCCGAGUGUAGAGGUGAAAUUCGUAGAUAUUCGGAGGAACACCAGUGGCGAAGGCGGCUCACUGGCUCGAUACUGACGCUGAGGUGCGAAAGUGUGGGGAGCAAACAGGAUUAGAUACCCUGGUAGUCCACACCGUAAACGAUGAAUGCCAGUCGUCGGAGCGCUUGCGCUUCGGUGACACACCUAACGGAUUAAGCAUUCCGCCUGGGGAGUACGGUCGCAAGAUUAAAACUCAAAGGAAUUGACGGA
This 560-nucleotide ribosomal RNA is filed under the name uncultured bacterium. RNAcentral's name for it is "bacterial SSU rRNA". It matches the Rfam family "Bacterial small subunit ribosomal RNA", at positions 339 to 917 of the family's 1533-position model. The record is from RNAcentral.